Amphimedon queenslandica is the source of this 533-nucleotide long non-coding RNA. RefSeq lists it as uncharacterized. The record is from RefSeq and is a predicted model, not a curated record. The transcript is spliced from 3 exons. Lineage: Eukaryota; Metazoa; Porifera; Demospongiae; Haplosclerida; Niphatidae.
CUACUCAUGUUUAGAAUUGUACCUAGAAAUUGCUUUAAUUGUAGCUAGAAAUUACUGUUGCCCAAAAUUUCUGUGAAUUUUGCAGAUUUUAUUUUAGCAAAAUCACCAUGCCUUUCAAUGUGUACUGAUUUUAAAGGAUUAAAUUUUCACAGUUUUUGAAAUCUGCAUAAUUAGCAGAAAUUUUGGGCCACAGAAAUAUCUAGCUCCACGUGUAUGGCAUUUGCAAUGAAAGGUUUAUUUUUAACUUCUUAUCUCUGUUAAACAGAUAACAUUUCCCCAAGACUAGAUAUAUUAUCAACUCUUUAUUUCCCUUGGCACUACUUAAUGUGACACCAGUAUAUUUCCAGAAUGACAUUCCUGUCAAAUUAUUUUUAGAGAUGAAAAUAGGCUACAAAGUUCUUUGUAAACAUUAUUGCAAAACUCAACAGAGUAACCUGAAAUGAAAUGUGUGGCUAAACAAGCAUUUAUUCAUGUUUGAACUGUUUUUUUACAUUUUUGUUUGAGUUAUGAACAUUAUAAAUUGAAGUACAAUU